CCAAUAGCGUAUAUUAAAGUUGUUGCAGUUAAAAAGCUCGUAGUUGAAUUUCGGGAUCAAUAUGUCUGUCGUGCCUUUGGUACGUACGGGUAUAAUUGGUUUCUACCUUCUGAUGAACCUUGAUGCCAUUAAUUUGGUGUCUUGGGGACUCAGGACUGUUACCUUGAAAAAAUUAGAGUGUUUAAAGCAGGCAUACGCUUGAAUACAUUAGCAUGGAAUAAUGAAAUAGGACGUUCGAUUCUAUUUUGUUGGUUUCUAGGAUCGACGUAAUGAUUAAUAGGGAUAGUUGGGGGCAUUAGUAUUCAAUUGUCAGAGGUGAAAUUCUUGGAUUUAUUGAAGACUAACUACUGCGAAAGCAUUUGCCAAGGAUGUUUUCAUUAAUCAAGAACGAAAGUUAGGGGAUCGAAGACGAUCAGAUACCGUCGUAGUCUUAACCAUAAACUAUGCCGACUAGGGAUCGGAUGAUGUUAAUUUUUUAAUGACUCAUUCGGCGCCUUACG
RNAcentral lists this ribosomal RNA (500 nucleotides) under uncultured Glomeromycotina. RNAcentral's name for it is "partial small subunit ribosomal RNA". It matches the Rfam family "Eukaryotic small subunit ribosomal RNA", at positions 591 to 1092 of the family's 1831-position model. The record is from RNAcentral. Lineage: Eukaryota; Fungi; Glomeromycota.